GAAUUGGAGAGGAUCAAAAACACCCAACAAGAGAGUGCUUCUCGUAAAGAAGCAGCACAGGGAGGGAUGGAAGUGUACAAAGAGCUGUAUCUGGAGGAAGUGAAAACCAGAAGAUGCCUUGCCAAGAAACUGGAAAGGCUGGAAAAGCUUCUGAGGAUAGAGAGGAGGAAACUCCGGGUUAAUGAAGAGAAAGGAAGUCAGUCCCAGCUGGAAGAAAUGAAGAAGAGAUAUUCUGAAAAGGUCAAGGAAGUCGAUGGAUUCCAAAGAGAGGUUGCUGAACUUUCCCAGCAGUUGGACAGGGAACGUGAACAGUGCACGC
This is a long non-coding RNA of Pseudopipra pipra, 319 nucleotides long. RefSeq lists it as uncharacterized. Lineage: Eukaryota; Metazoa; Chordata; Aves; Passeriformes; Pipridae. The record is from RefSeq and is a predicted model, not a curated record. The transcript is spliced from 3 exons.